Molecule: ribosomal RNA, 497 nt
Filed under: uncultured bacterium
Lineage: Bacteria
Description: partial 16S ribosomal RNA
Rfam family: Bacterial small subunit ribosomal RNA
Source: RNAcentral
GAUGAACGCUGGCGGCGUGCCUAAUACAUGCAAGUCGAGCGAACAGACGAGGAGCUUGCUCCUUUGACGUUAGCGGCGGACGGGUGAGUAACACGUAGGUAACCUACCUAUAAGACUGGGAUAACUUCGGGAAACCGGAGCUAAUACCGGAUAAUAUUUCGAACCGCAUGGUUCGAUAGUGAAAGAUGGCUUUGCUAUCACUUAUAGAUGGACCUGCGCCGUAUUAGCUAGUUGGUAAGGUAACGGCUUACCAAGGCAACGAUACGUAGCCGACCUGAGAGAGUGAUCGGCCACACUGGAACUGAGACACGGUCCAGACUCCUACGGGAGGCAGCAGUAGGGAAUCUUACGCAAUGGGCGAAAGCCUGACGGAGCAACGCCGCGUGAGUGAUGAAGGUCUUCGGAUCGUAAAACUCUGUUAUUAGGGAAGAACAAACGUGUAAGUAACUGUGCACGGCUUGACGGUACCUAAUCAGAAAGCCACGGCUAACUACGUG